CUGGCUGAUGAGGCCAAGGCGAAUGCGACUCUGUGCCCUGCGCCCCUCAGCUCCUAGUGUGGGGUGGGGGGCGAUCGGAAAUCUCGGGGGGGGUCCUGAGGCGUGGGCACCCCCCACACACACCCUAAGGCCCGAUCCACAGCAGCCCGGGCCUCCCCCGCCUCCCCGCUGUCACCCCAGAUGCUGGCAGCGGCCUGCGGGGAGGCCCACAGAGGGAGGCUGAGACGGGGCGGGCACAGGCCGUGAGCGCACGCGUGGAUCUGACA
Small nucleolar RNA from Dipodomys ordii (Ord's kangaroo rat), 266 nucleotides. The record is from Ensembl. NCBI's taxonomy places the organism in Eukaryota, Metazoa, Chordata, Mammalia, Rodentia, Heteromyidae.